RNAcentral lists this ribosomal RNA (395 nucleotides) under Salmonella enterica subsp. enterica serovar Weltevreden. RNAcentral describes it as "partial 23S ribosomal RNA". It matches the Rfam family "Bacterial large subunit ribosomal RNA", at positions 859 to 1251 of the family's 2925-position model. The record is from RNAcentral. Lineage: Bacteria; Pseudomonadati; Pseudomonadota; Gammaproteobacteria; Enterobacterales; Enterobacteriaceae.
CCGAAAGCUAUUUAGGUAGCGCCUCGUGAAUUCAUCUCCGGGGGUAGAGCACUGUUUCGGCUAGGGGGCCAUCCCGGCUUACCAACCCGAUGCAAACUGCGAAUACCGGAGAAUGUUAUCACGGGAGACACACGGCGGGUGCUAACGUCCGUCGUGAAGAGGGAAACAACCCAGACCGCCAGCUAAGGUCCCAAAGUCAUGGUUAAGUGGGAAACGAUGUGGGAAGGCCCAGACAGCCAGGAUGUUGGCUUAGAAGCAGCCAUCAUUUAAAGAAAGCGUAAUAGCUCACUGGUCGAGUCGGCCUGCGCGGAAGAUGUAACGGGGCUAAACCAUGCACCGAAGCUGCGGCAGCGACGCUUAUGCGUUGUUGGGUAGGGGAGCGUUCUGUAAGCCUG